This 473-nucleotide ribosomal RNA is filed under the name uncultured bacterium. RNAcentral describes it as "SSU rRNA". It matches the Rfam family "Bacterial small subunit ribosomal RNA", at positions 26 to 517 of the family's 1533-position model. The record is from RNAcentral.
AGAUUGAACGCUGGCGGCAUGCCUUACACAUGCAAGUCGAACGGCAGCGCGGGAGCAAUCCUGGCGGCGAGUGGCGAACGGGUGAGUAACACAUCGGAACGUGCCCAAUCGUGGGGGAUAACUACGCGAAAGCGUAGCUAAUACCGCAUAAGAUCUACGGAUGAAAGCAGGGGAUCGCAAGACCUUGCGCGAAUGGAGCGGCUGAUGGCAGAUUAGGUAGUUGGUAGGGUAAAAGCCUACCAAGCCUGCGAUCUGUAGCUGGUCUGAGAGGACGACCAGCCACACUGGGACUGAGACACGGCCCAGACCCCUACGGGAGGCAGCAGUGGGGAAUUUUCCGCAAUGGGCGAAAGCCUGACGGAGCAAUGCCGCGUGGAGGUAGAAGGCCCACGGGUCGUAAACUCCUUUUCUCAGAGAAGAAGCAAUGACGGUAUCUGAGGAAUAAGCAUCGGCUAACUCUGUGCCAGCAGCCG